AAAAAAAGAUGAGUUCACGAGAGAUGUCCAUGGAUACAAUUAUGGAAGAUGAAGAUUCGUUUGUUUCUAAUACAAAUGCAAUCAUCUACGCUGCUUCUGAUAUGUCAGGCUGGACUCACAGUUUGAUCUCAGAUAACAAUAUUCCUAAUUCGUCCUCUUCUACCAGUGUAGACGACCGCCAGCAGCAGAUAUCCACUGCUGGUGGUGGUGGUGGUGAUGAUUCGAUGAUUGUAUCAUCAAGUGCAUCUUCCAGCUGGUUUAAUAAUAAUAAGCAAAUUGAUGAUCACCAAGAGAUUAGGAUAUUUAAUGUUGAUUUCAGAGCACUUUGCAACACCAGCGGUGGAUCCGAAUUUCGCGGCCAUUUAUUGCCAGAUACUGGUAGGACAGUGAACGAAGAGACUAGCAUUAGGCUUGUCAAUGCGUUGAUGGCUUGUGCCGAGGCGAUCCAAGAGAACAACUUAACUCUAGCGGAUGUACUAAACAGUCAAUUAAGAAGACUUACAAUUGGAGGAGCAAUGAAGAAAGUGGCGACUUAUUUUACAGAUGCUUUGUAUCAUAAGAUUCACAGAAUGAAUCCACGAGAUAUUGUUGAAUCAUUCUAUUCCACGGACCAACUCUUGCAUAUGAGCUUCUACGAGAGUUGCCCCUUACUCAAAUUUGCGCACUUCUCAGCCAAUCAAUCCAUUUUGGAGGCCUUCGCUGAUUCCAAGAGAGUACAUGUAAUUGAUUUCAGCUUGAAUCAAGGUUUGCAAUGGCCGGCACUUUUGCAGGCUCUCGCUUUGCGUCCUGGCGGUCCACCAGCUUUUCGGCUCUCAGGAAUUAGUGGCCAACCUAAGUCUCAUGAUGGUAGCGAUCCCUUACGGGAAGUUGGUUUUAAACUCGCCCAAUUUGCAGAAUCAAUUGGUGUAGAAUUUGAAUUCUGUGGAUUCAUGGUCCAUACUUUAGCUGAUCUUGAAGCACCAAUGUUGAAUAUUAGACCCAGUAAUGUGGAAACAGUGGCUGUGAACUCUGUUUUUGAGCUUCACCGUUUGUUUUCCAUUCCAGGAGCAUUUGAGGAAGUGUUGGAUUUAAUAAAACAAAUACAACCGAAGAUUGUGACCAUCGCCGAACAAGAAGCGAAUCACAAUGGGAGUUGCUAUAUGAACAGGAUUAAGGAAGCAUGGCUUUACUAUUCAACAAUGUUCAACGUGCUGGAGAACUCAGAGUCAACUCAGACCAACAAUCGAGACUUGGAUAUGGAGGAGCAGUACCUAGGGCGGGAGAUCUAUAAUUUGGUGGCUUGCGAAGGAACUAAGCGAAUUGUGCGACACGAGACGUUGAGUCAAUGGCGAGUGAGGUUUAACUCUGCAGGGUUCAACCUGGUUCCCCUGGGUUCAAAUAUGUACAGAAACGCAAACAUGUUAUUGGCCUUGUUCACAAAUGAAGAAGGAUAUAGAGUAGAAGAGAAAGAUGGGUGUCUUAUGUUGAGUUGGCAUAGUCGCCCGCUCAUCACCACAUCUGCUUGGUGCGGCUAUGUCGCCAAGUCUAGGGAUUAGUCAAUGGGUGAGGUUGCUCUGCAGCUGUCCUGGAAAAUCCUGCUACUCUGACGAGGUUUCUUUGCAGUUGUCCUGCAUCAUCCAAUACGUAGUUUUAUAUGUUACUCUUCUUUUACUGUUUACAGGUACUGUCUUAGAUGUAUCAGACAGUCCAAAUUGAUAAUAUUUGUAAGAUGUUUCUUUUCUUCGACCUCACUGUUAGUGAGAGAAUCUCUGCAGUAGCCAUUAAAUUUGAUAACGCAAAGGGCACAAUCUUUUCAAAACAGUCUCUUUACCUCCACAAGAUAGGGGUAAGGUUUGCGUACACUCUAUCCUACCCAGACCUGUGUAUGGGACUACAUUAGAUUUGUUGUUGUUGUUGAGUGUAGCACCUGGAUGUUCCUCCUUAAUGUCAUAUUCAGAACUUGUAAUAUAAUUGUCUGUGUUGUAACACUAUUUUCUGUAUAAAAGUUGUCUUCUCUU
Molecule: RNA transcript, 1997 nt
Organism: Solanum stenotomum
Lineage: Eukaryota; Viridiplantae; Streptophyta; Magnoliopsida; Solanales; Solanaceae
Gene name: DELLA protein GAI-like
Exons: 2
Source: RefSeq, a predicted model, not a curated record